AGUCUAUUAUUGUGUCUAUAAAUGAAAGUGUAAGCAUUCCACCUCAAGAGUAAUUUGGCAACAUUGGAACUGAAAUCAUUAGACCGUUUCUGAAACCAGUAGUGAAGUAUGUUGUUUAAUUAGAUGAUACACAAAAACCUUACCACAAUUUGAAUAUAUAUAAAAUAUAUUUACAAGCGCUGCACGGCUGUCUACAGUUAAUGUCGUGAGACUUUGGUUAGCUCCAUUAAAUUGACGUAAACCCUAAUUUUAUUUAUAAAUAUAAUUAACAUUGCUAUAUUUGAUGUUUAAGAGGG
RNAcentral lists this ribosomal RNA (296 nucleotides) under Sticta sp. 2 JAMD-2022. RNAcentral describes it as "partial small subunit ribosomal RNA". It matches the Rfam family "Bacterial small subunit ribosomal RNA", at positions 830 to 1177 of the family's 1533-position model. The record is from RNAcentral. Lineage: Eukaryota; Fungi; Ascomycota; Lecanoromycetes; Peltigerales; Lobariaceae.